This 600-nucleotide ribosomal RNA is filed under the name uncultured bacterium. RNAcentral's name for it is "bacterial SSU rRNA". It matches the Rfam family "Bacterial small subunit ribosomal RNA", at positions 55 to 665 of the family's 1533-position model. The record is from RNAcentral.
ACGGAGAUUACAGGCGGAAGUUUUCGGAUGGAAGCUUGUAAACUUAGUGGCGGACGGGUGAGUAACACGUGAGCAACCUGCCUAUCAGAGGGGGAUAACGAUUGGAAACGAUCGCUAAUACCGCAUGACAUAGCGGAACCGCAUGGUUCUGUUAUCAAAGAUUUUAUCGCUGAUAGAUGGGCUCGCGUCCGAUUAGAUAGUUGGUGGGGUAACGGCCUACCAAGUCGACGAUCGGUAGCCGGACUGAGAGGUCGAACGGCCACAUUGGGACUGAGACACGGCCCAGACUCCUACGGGAGGCAGCAGUGGGGGAUAUUGCACAAUGGGGGAAACCCUGAUGCAGCGACGCCGCGUGAGGGAAGACGGUCCUCUGGAUUGUAAACCUCUGUCUUCGGGGACGAAACGAGACGGUACCCGAGGAGGAAGCCACGGCUAACUACGUGCCAGCGGCCGCGGUAAUACGUAGGUGGCAAGCGUUGUCCGGAAUUACUGGGUGUAAAGGGAGCGUAGGCGGGCAGGCAAGUCAGGCGUGAAAUAUAUCGGCUCAACCGGUAACGGCGCUUGAAACUGCAGGUCUUGAGUGAAGUAGAGGUUGGCGGA